Penaeus vannamei (Pacific white shrimp) is the source of this 784-nucleotide non-coding RNA. The record is from RefSeq and is a predicted model, not a curated record. Lineage: Eukaryota; Metazoa; Arthropoda; Malacostraca; Decapoda; Penaeidae.
UGGAAAGUUAAUGAACAUGGGUUUCAGUGAAGAGCAGGUCACUGAAGCUCUUCGUUGCAGUGGAAAUAAACAGAGUAGUGCUUGUGAAUUGCUUUUAAGCAACCGUUCAACAAUGCCAGAUGACCAAGGAUUAGAACGAGAUUCCCCAAUUAUCUCAGCCAUUCUUGCGUCUCCUGUUAUACAACUGGCAUUACCAAAGCAAAAACACUUUUAGCUCUGAUGAUGUUGUUUGAAAGCCCUAAUAAUGCGAAUAUGUGGUUAAGUGACCCAGACACACCCCAGUUGUUAGCCAAGUACUGAGGAUUUACCAUGCAGAAAAGCAUUGUCUAAGUCACAAUCGUCCUCUAGCUUCAUCAGGACCAGUUGAUCCACCAGUUGUUUCACACACUUUAGGGAUAAUAAGAGUUGGCACUUCUGUGAAUCCACCUCCACUCCAGCAGUCACAGUUUGCCAGUGUAACAUACACUCAGCCAUUUCCCCUUGGCAUAAGAAGUGCUAGUAGCAAUGGCAUGACAGGCAUGAGAAGCACUAGCAGUAGUGGGAUGGCAGUUGACCAACCGUCGCAUUCAGUCACCAUGUCACCUGUAGCUAUGCGAAGAUCAUCAGCAGGACCAUUACCUUCUAAUCUGCACAUGAUUGCCUCUUCAAGUCCUCCAAACAUUCAUAACUUACCAGCUGUUCGACUAAACCCAGAAGAAUCGAUGUCUCUCUCAGGGUCGCCAGUCCGGGCACGAGGUGGAGCUCGCAGCCUUUCUGACCUGACAGGGAGUCAGCCAAACUCCAG